RNAcentral lists this long non-coding RNA (14228 nucleotides) under Malus domestica (apple). Its description in RNAcentral is "long non-coding RNA (MDOM_LNC002461)". The record is from RNAcentral. Lineage: Eukaryota; Viridiplantae; Streptophyta; Magnoliopsida; Rosales; Rosaceae.
CCUUUUGAAUGAAGCCGUAGGAGAGCAGUACGAGCUAGAAAAUUGGUAACGCUGGUAGUUCGUAGCAUGAUGUUUGGGAUGUUUAGAUCCUUAGCUACAGCUUUAGUGAAGUACAUAAGGUCAUCAUGGAUAAGGCAUGUGAUUUUGUUCUCGGGAUCCUGUUCCAUAAAUUGAGUCAAGGGCUGUCGGAAACACGCUGUGCAGUUGGCAUUUAUGGCCAGCGAAAUGGCCACUGCAUUCCCAGAUGAGAUCUCUUCAGCAGUCAAGCCAUCUUGUAUUGGAAAGAAGGUGAAAUCCGGGUGGUUUGAAGGGUUGGGGGAGUUGAACUGGGUGUGAAUAACAGUGAUAGAAAAGCCCUUUGAGUGAAGGAAGGAACCCAGCUGAAGCAUUGGAUUUAUGUGACCUUGGUAUGGACAUGGGAAUAAGACCAACCUGUUACUCUGUGUUUUCUUUUCCAUCUCCAUCCUUCCUUCUUUCUUUUUUCUCUUAGAGAGACAUAGACACACACCCCCAAAAGGUUACAGUGAUUGGAUUUCUAAAUUUUUGACUGCAUCAUUGAAACCCUUGGAGUUUUUAUAAAGGUGAGUUAUUAAAAACAUCCUUUUUUACCUUCUGCAUAAGCCUCUAAAUUCAAGCUCUUGAUUACUCUUUGAUUUGUUCAGGACAAUGACUGAAUAUAAAAUACACACACACACACACAUCCCGAUUUGCCAUCCCAGUAUCACAAGCUAAUAACACGAUGUCAUAAAUUUUAACUUCUUCACAUUACAUUAUAUUAUUGGCACAGAAUAUCACAAGGGCAUAUACGAGCAUCUAUAGGCGAUAGCUAUUCAGCUACCAGUAGCUUUGGCUACAUCUUCCUGGAUUAAAGCGGUAAGCGGUAACGGCUGAUUCUCUCAUCUCUUCCAGAAGGGAUUGAUGACAAUUGCAGAUAAAAUAUCUUUGGUCUAAAAUAAUUUUAUUGUCAUUGUUAUAUUGUUAGACAAGGGAAAAACAACAAGCUAUGUCUUCAUCUCUUAGGGAUCACGAUAAGUUGAUUGUCCUUGUUGAAUUAGUAUUCCUCCAAUACCUAAAGUUUAAUACCUUUAACUUAAUUAAUUGUUGAACAGUUGUUUUAACCUUAAUUUUUUUUUCCAGGAAAAAUGUGGCUUUUGAAUUGAAGAAAUGCUGCCUCCUUACACAGUGACAUCUGAAAAUUUUCAUUAUUUUGUCUCCCUAACAUUACUAUUUGUCAAAAGGGAAGCGUAGAAAAUUAGAAAUCAAUCUCCUUUCAUAAAUUCAAGCCCCAAUGAAUGGUACACACCUUCCUUCCCUAAAAUUCCACACAUUUCCUGCCAAUCCUUUGUUCAAGAUGAUUGACCAAUCAGAUUUUUCGUAAUAAAGAUCAUAUAAAUGAGCUGAUAAUGAAAAAAUUUGACGAAGUCAUCGUUUUUAUAUUUCACUUUCAUUGUGAAUUGGCAACACUGACCUAAAAAAAUCUGAGUUUUGCACGAAUCAUAAUCAAACGUAAGAAAAUUGUGAAUAAAUUUAAUACAAGUAGGCCUGACAAUUUCUAACACGAUUUGAUAACCCGACACGACACGACACGAAAUUAACAGGUGUUCAGGUCGAUACGAUAACUAAUCGGAAUGUUAUUGGGUAACCCGAUAAGCACCUGUUAAGAUAACGGGUUGGUUCGGGUAUAUAUGUGGGUAACACGAUACACGAUAAUCAAAAUAUUAAUUUUAUAAUUUUAUAACCCUAAAAAAACCUAUAAUAAUUAUAUAUAUUAAAUUAAAUGUUAAAAAUUGGUGAUCAUUGGAUCGGCUUAAAUAUAUAUAUCAUUCAAUUUCUUAAGUGUUAUACGUACAAAAUAAAUAAAUUUAAAUCUACUUAAUAUAUAUAUAUACACACACACACACACCAUUGAACUUGAUGGGAUACAAAUUUUACGAAAUUAAUUUUAACGAUUCAACCAUCAAACUUGUUUGUAUAUGCUUUGAGAUUGCAUUAGCAAAAAUUGAAAAAAACAAACAUUCAGAGAUCAAGUAAUGGGACAAAACUUUUCGACGGUUAUCAACGAAAAAUCACAAUUUAACUGUUAUUUUAACUUCGAUUUUGAUGAUUUUUUACAGCUACACUCCUUGACCCUGAAUACAAUGAAUGAACUCGAUCUUCAAUUUAAAAUAUUUACACUAGUAGAUACCACAAAAUCUUAUGUUAUACUUAAUGAAAGUAUGCAUAAACUCUUAAAUGUUAGUGAAUAUAUUGUUUUAUGGGAUAUGCAUUCUACGAAAUUAGUUUCAACUAUCCAACCGUUAAACAUGUUUGUAACUUUGAGAUCGCAUACGCCAAAAAUUGCAAAAAACAAACAUUUAAAGAUCAAGUAACGGGACAAAACUUUUCGACGGAUAUAAACAAAAAAUCAUGAUUUAAUGGUUAUUUUAACUCCGAUUAUGAUGAUUUUUUUACAGCUACACUCCUUGGCCUUAUAUGAAUACAAUGAAUGAAUUCGAUCUUCAAUUUAAAAUAUUUACACUAGUGGAUACCACAAAAUCUUAUGUUAUAUUGAAUGAAAGUAUGAAUACACUCGUUAAAUGUUAGUGAAUAUAUCGUUUUGAUGGGAUAUGCAUUCUACGAAACUAAUUUCAACGAUCCAACCGUCAAACUUGUUUGUAUAUGCUUCAAGAUCGCAUACGCCAAAAAUUGCAAAAAACAAACAUUCAAAGAUCAAGUAACUGGACAAAACUUUUCAACGGUUAUCAACGAAAAAUCAUGAUUUAACGGUUAUUUUAACUUGAUUUUGAUGAUUUUUUAUAGCUACACUCCUUGACCCUAUAUGAAUACAAUGAAUGAACUCGAUCUUCAAUUUAAAAUAUUUACAUUAGUGGAUAUCACAAAAUCUUAUGUUAUACUUAAUGAAAGUAUGAAUAAACUCUUAAGUGUUAGUGAAUCUAUUGUUUUGAUGGGAUAUGCAUUCUACGAAACUAGUUUGAACGAUUCAACCUUCAAACAUGUUUGUAUAUACUUCAAGAUCACGUACGCCAAAAAUUGUAAAAAACAAACAUUCAAAGAUCAAGUAAUGAGACAAAACUUUUUGACAGUUAUCAACGAAAAAUCACGAUUUAACGGUUAUUUUAACUCUGAUUUUGAUGAUUUUUUACAACUACACUUCUUGACCCUAUAUGGAUACAAUGAAUGAACUCGAUCUUCAAUUUAAAAUAUGUACACUAGUGGAUACCCAAAAAUCUUAUGUUAUACUUAAUGAAAGUAUGAAUAAACUAUUAAGUGUUAGUGAAUCUAUCGUUUUGAUGGGAUACGCAUUUUACAAAACUAAUUUCAACGAUCCAACCGUCAAACUUGUUUGUAUAUGCUUCGAGAUUGCAUACGCCAAAACUCGCAAAAAAACAAACAUUCAGAGAUCAAGUAACAGGACAAAACUUUUUGACGGUUAUCAAAGAAAAAUUAGGAUUUAACGGUUAUUUUAACUCCGAUUUUGAUGAUUUUUUACAGUUACACACACUCCUUGACCCUAUAAGAAUACAAUGAAUGAACUCGAUCUACAAUUUAAAAUAUUUACAGUAGUGGAUACCACAAAAUCUUAUGUUAUACUUAAUGAAAGUAUGAAUAAACUCUUAAGUGUUAGUGAAUCUAUUGUUUUGAUGGGAUAUGCAUUCUACGAAACUAGUUUCAACGAUUAAACCGUCAAACAUGUUGGUAUAUACUUCAAGAUUGCAUACGCAAAAAAUUACAAAAAACAAACAUUCAGAGAUCAAGUAACGGGACAAAACUUUUCAACGGUUAUCAAUGAAAAAUCACAAUUUAACGGUUAUUUUAACUCCGAUUUUGGAUGAUUUUUUUACAGCUACACUCCUUGACCCUAUAUGAAUACAAUGAAUGAAUUCGAUCUUCAAUUUAAAAUAUUAUACUAGUGGAUACCACAAAAUCUUAUGUUAUACUUAAUGAAAGUAUGAAUAAACUCUUAAGUGUUAGUGAAUCUAUCAUUUUGAUGGGAUACACAUUCUAUGAAACUAAUUUCAAUGAUCCAAUUGUCAAACUUGUUUGUAUAUGCUUCAAGAUCGCAUAUGCCAAAAAUCGCAAAAAACAAACAUUCAGAGAUCAAGUAACGGGACAAAACUUUUCCACGGUUAUUAACGAAAAAUCACGAUUUAACCAGUGUUCUAAAAAUCGGCCUAGGCGGCGCCUAGGCGUUGGGCGGCGGAGCCCCGACUAUAUUUCGGCCAAAACGUUCACUUAAGGUGGGGAGGAUUUAGGCGGUCGCCUAGGCGCUCAUUAGGCAUUCUAGGCUGUGUUAGGCGGCAGUCAAGGCGGCUGCAAAUCCCAAACUCACUGCAACUCUCGCAGCAAAUCUGCGUCGUACGUAGAAGCAGAGCCUCAGCGAGCUUCUGAAGCUUGUCGUCUAUGAGCAGAUGAGGGCUCGCCGUCUAUGAGCAGAUGAAGGAAGAUAUAGUACGAAUAGAGAGAGAGAGCCUCAGCAGCGUGAGUUGCAGUCUUGCAGAUUUAGUUUUUAGCAUCUGAAAGGGCUAAUGAAGAAGAAGAAGUGAAAAGGUUUAAUGGGAAUGAUACUUUCACUUUUCGAUGGGUCAAAAUAUGGUUUUGAUUUGAGCUCCACCUUGGGGAAUGUAAGAGAGGUGGUGGAACCCGGUUUUUAAUUUUGAAACCAAGCAUUGGCACACUGCAUGGUUUUGUUAUUGGGGAAUGUUAGAGAGGUGGAGUGGAACCCGGUUUCUAAUUUUGAAACCACCCACUGACACAAUGCAUGGGCUUGUUAUCUUUUGAAAAGUUGGAGAUAUAAAUAAAUAUAUAUAUCUAUAUAUAUAUAUAUUAUAAAUGUUAUAUGAAUUAUUUAGAUAAUGAUUUUUUCUUAGACUAUCAUAUUAUAUACAUAAAAUAAGUAAUUAUAUAGUCAUAUAAUAUAUAAUAAAUCUAAAUCUGUCUAGGCGUUAGGCCUCAGCUCGUCACCUGACUAGUGCCUAACGUUUUUUAGAAUCAUCUUUUUGCAUUUUAUCAUUUUUUUAUAUUAUCUUAUCCUUGGAUUUCAUACAAGUAUAAUUUUUUGUAAGUGUCAAUAUGCACUUAUUUACAAGAUAUAUAAGAAAUUUACCUAAAUCCGCCUAGGCGCUAGGCGCUAGCCCGCCGCUCGACUAGCGCCUAGCGUUUUUUAAAACCUUGGAUUUAACGGUUAUUUUAACUCUGAUUUGAAUGAUUUUUUACAGCUAUACUCUUUGACCCUAUAUGAAUACAAUGAAUGAAUUUGAUCUUCAAUUUAAAAUAUUUACACUAGUGGAUACCACAAAAUCUUAUGUCAUGAUGAUUGAUGAAAAUUGAAGAUUUUGUAAAAGGAAUAACAUGCAAGCUUUGAGUUCCAUUGGCAAGGUUUAAACUUUUGAGAAAUGCUUCAUAACCUUGAAAACAAAAACUCUUUCAUUUUGCAUAUCCUUACCCAUUUAAUAUUUUGUAAUAAACUAGUAGUGUAUGGAUGUUUGUUUAUUAUGCUCUUAUUUUCGAGUGUAGAUGUACUACUUAAACGACAAAUGUGUUUUAAUGUUUUGAAGUAAUAUUUAUGUGGCAAUGUGUGGUAUGUGCAAAUUUGAGAAAAAAAAAAUAUUUUUCUUAACGGAUCAUAACGGGUCGGGUCUGUUAAGAUAACGAGUGUGACAUGACACGACUUGUUAAGAUAACAAGUGUUACACGAAAACGACACAAACACGACAAACAUGACCCAUUUGCCAGGCCUAAAUACAAGAACAAGAGUCCUGAUCUUCUAAGGUUUGAUUUUGAGGACUUGUGAGGACCAAAUGCAUAUUAGCUACAAAUUGUAUUAGUUUAGAUCCAAAAGUUUAAAUUUUUUGACAAGUUAAUAAAGCAAAACAAGAAAAUGAGUUUUCUAAUAGUUCAUGAAUUUUAAGUUGGUUUUGAUUAUUAAGUUGUCAAAUAUUUUAAGCCUUUGGAUCUAAAUAAUCUAGUGGCUAAUAUGCAUUGAGUCGUCAGAUCCUCAUUUUGAGAACCCUACAAGAGCAGGACUAUAAGAACAAUUCAUGCUCCAAAUGGUCAAUCAUCUUGGUCAAAUGGAAUUCGUGCAAAAUCAUCUUGAGCUGAAGAAAUUGCAUGUAGGGCAUCGCUGAAAGAUCGGGUUUCUUUCUGUCGGUAUCCAUAUUCAACGUCUCCACCAUAACUUUACGCAAAUGUAGGUGUUUAUAAGUUAAUGUUCUUGUGAAAUUGGUAAUAGUAUAUAUGAGAAUGAAGCCCAAAGGGAAUGGUUGGGGUGGCAGCUUUCAAGUGCUGCAAUACCAGCCAGUGCAGCCACCCAACUCCUUUAAUGAAGGUUUUUAGUUAUAAUAAGAACAUUGGAAUUGCAUGUUAGCGUCGAGAAAUAAUGUACUUGAAUGGCUGGCCACUUUCUCGAAUCUAGCUAGUGGAUGACCAUAGGCUGCAUUUUGCAGUUAGUAUUUGGCAAUGAUAUAUCGGUUUGUAUCGGAAAGUUAUAGGGUGUUACAGUUGAACUGAAUUAGAUCCUUUUUCAACUUCUAACUUCUCAUUAUUGUCAAUUUCUGGAAUCCAAACUUGUAUAGCUUCAAAAUUUGGAAUUCAAACUUGUGUAGUUUCAAAUGUAAGGGGGUACCUUCGUUAGACAAGCGACGACAUUGUUCAAGAAUCAAUCAGAAAUGUUGUGGUUAUAGGUCUCUUCUGGUUUCCCUUAAGCACUAGUCUAAUUGCUUUGAUACCAUUCCGAAGGAGGAGGUUGGACUUUAUUCUAUCGGAGUUCCACUUCCGGGCAAACCUUGUUUUAUGUCGGAGUAUGAAAAGUUGUGUCUUAUUGUGUGAUUAAAUGUAUGACAUAGAUGUGUCUGUAUUUUCUACUAUUUAUUUUUCGUUUGUUAAAAAAAUUCACUCAUACCAUCGAGUUUGUUUAGAAUCUAGUAAAUUUAGUUCUUUUGUAUGAUUAUAAUAUGUUUUUAACUUUAGAUCAAGCCCACCUUAUUUUCAAAUCCCGGUCCAUCGCGGGCUGUGUUCGUCUACUUUAUAGCAUACAAAAUAUCAUGAAUGAUGAAGCUUACGAUAACUGAUUUUGCUAAUUUAGUAUGAAAUUGGAUGCUACUCUGUUUAUAGUAUGAACGAUGAAAUUUACAAAUGUGGGUUACACUAGUUGAUUAUGCUAGUGUGUUUGUUCCUUUGCAGCCAAGUUAUUCUCAUCCUUGUAAAUUAGACUAGUGUAAUAUCUCUCAGUCAAAACAAAAUAUGUUGAUCCUUACAUAUGGUUGGCAUAUCAAUGGGACUGCUUGAAAGAUACUCUCAACGAUUCAAUUCCAACCACAAUGGCUCCAAAACUGUCCAACUCCUGUGUGUCGGGACUUGCUUUCGGGGUGCUCAUUUCACUAUGUGCCCCCUUUGACCAACCCUUUAUUGGAAACCUUCGGGCAAUGAUACGCAGUCCGUCCGAACCUUUUAUUGGAAACCUUCGGGCAAUAAUACGGAGUCUGUCCGAACCACUCACAAGAAAGGCUUCUCAUUGGUGGCCAGACCCCAUGCCAUUAUAUAAAUCUUCAUUAUCCAUGAAAGCUAUGCUUCCUAGGCUUACAUAGCCGAUAGAGAGUUUUGUGCUUGUUUAUCGAGCCAUGACAUACAGCUCUGGCCAUCUUUCAACAAGAUUAUAAACAUGGAUGGAACAGUUUCUUGUAGAGGACUGAUAGGAAACUGUAACGACCCAUCCCCAAAUAUUACGAAUUUUAUAAUUUUAAAAUGUGAAAUUACGAAAAUGCCCUUCGAGGCAAAUACGUUGACUUUUGUUGACUGUCUUGUCAUGUCACAUAAGAUCCAUUCCCUUGGUGUAUCCUCAUAGUACUCGUUGCUAAAAACUCGUGGGCGCAAACGGAAUGUAAUUUGGAGUUACAAUGAAAGAGUUAUUAACGAACGAAGUUGAGGGCAAAAUGGUCAUUUAACCAUAAAUCUGGAAGGCUCCAGAUUUUGUUGGAGCAUCAAUUUAGUGCCAUGUGUGUGGUUGUGAUCAAGGAAGAAAAUAUCGGUGAUAUCGGAAAUAUCGGUAGUCCGAAAACACGGAAAUAUCGAUGGAAAUAUCGGUAAAAUAUCGAUAUCGAUAAAAAUUACAUGGAAACCACGGAAAUUGUAAGAAAAACUUGGAAAUUUUUAUUGAAACUUUGUAGGAUGUUUAUUUAGUCAAUUAUCUAUUAGUUUAUCACAAAAAAUUGGAAGGAAAUGCAUUGCAUGAUGGAUUUAACAUUAUCAAGUUGAUUAUAUAGCGAUCUGACAAACAUUAUGAGUGUAGAAAAUAUGUAGUAAUUAAUGAAAGAAGUCUAAACACACCAUAAUCAUUUAUAUAUAAUGAAUUAGUACAAUAUUUUACACUUUAGAACCACAAUAUUGUAAAAGCUGCAUGAAAUUGUCUAAAUAAUUGUAAAACUAUUGAGUGAGUUUAUCCUCCUGACAGGAGGAACCCACACACAUCAUCACUGUCAAAAACACAUCGCACGCACACACAACGCACGCACGCAGACCACACCUCAGUCUCUCUCUCUCUCGAUCCUUCUCGUUCUCUCUUCUCCCUUCUCUUCUUCCAAACACACACACACACACAGAGCUCCUCAGUCUCUCCCUCUCUCGAUCAUCCUUCUCCAUCUCUCUUCUCCCUUCUCUUCUCCCACACACACACUCACACAGAGAGCUCCACAGGUUGACAUCGGAUCCAAGUCCAACACACGCACACACAGAGAUCGGACUCACAGAGAUCUCCGAUCUCUCUUCUGCCAAACACACACACAUGCACACAGAGAUCUCUCGAUCUCUCAUCUCCAUUCUCCGAUCUCUCUUCUCCCUUCUCCGAUCUCUCUUCUCCCAAACACCCACAUACAAAGAGAGAUCUCCGAUCUCUCUUCUCCCAAACACACACACACACAGAGAUCGCCGUUGAUCGUGGCUCAGGCGAAGUCAGAGGUGCGCCGCGGAGCAAGGAUCGUUCGUAUUCCGCUUCGUCAGGUGAGAUUCCAUGAAACCCUAAACCCUAAUCUCUCCGACUUCACCCUGCCUUGAAUCGUUUGUAUAUUUGUGAAAUCUGAUGUAUAUUUGUGAAAUUAAUGUUAAGAUUCGUGUUUUUGCAAGGUUUUUGGGACGAAACCGGCCCGGGAAUCGCCCCACCGUCUCCGGCGUUCUUCUCCGACGUCGCCUCGGAUUCCGAUUCCACCGUCCAUGGAUAUUUCGCCGAUAAUUUCCAAAUAUCGCGAUAUUUGGCCGAAAACCCCACGGAAACCAGUUAAAAUAUCGCCGACCGGAAAAAUCGAUAUUAUCGGCGAUAUUUCGCCGAUAAUAUCGAUAUUUAAAUCUGUGGUUGUGAUGGAAAGAAGAGGAGAGAAAUGAGAGGGGUGUUGCCCAAUCGGGAAUGAGGGAAUCUGGACCCGAAGGCCUCCAUGGUUUCCGACGCCUUUCACGGCGGAUUUUCGGCUAGUUGAAGCCACUCACCACCUGAGAAGCGUCAAAUCGAGAAAACCUAUUUCAAGGAUUUUCGACGGAUCAAUGGUGACUUGAGCUAUUUCCCGACUGAAUUGAACUUUGACCCAUGUAUGAAAGUUGUUCCUCUCAUUGAGAUCUUCAUUCCUGCAAAAUUUGGGAAUUUUUGGAGUUGUUGAAUUUUUCGGCAAGUCGUGGCUGCCAGUCGGCGGCGACGGUGGCGCGUGGCCUUCUGGGCCGCCGCUUCAUGGAGGUUUGCACGACGGCGCGUGGGGGGAAACCCGAGAUCCCUUCUUAGGUUUUUCAAUGUGCCGAAUCCGAAUUCGCUGUCCGUUUUCCCAAAUUCUAUCGUUUAUGUAUAGUUUUACUAAAUGGUUCCUAAUUGUGUUUAGAUGUGCGUUAAUAGGAAGCGACACCAUUCUCGCUAGUUCAAGCUGCUCUCGGGCAAUGGAAAACUUAUGAGUGGACCCCUUCUUAACUUGCAUGUUUUUAUAAAAUAUUAGGCUUGUAUUCACGAAAGACAUGAUUUCAUGAUUUUACGCUUUAUGCAUUAAUUAUGAUUUAUUCAAAUUGCUUUUAUGAAAUAUUUAUGAUUUAUCGAAAUUAUGUUUUACUAAAGGCUAUGAAUUAUUAGAUUCUCGUUUAUGAAGUUCUAGGGAUUUACGAAUAUGAUUUAUUUUACGGAUUUAUGAGUAUGUACUAUCUUGGAUUGAUGAAAUGAGACUUUGAGGUUUUGAGUUUUGGAUUUGGAUAUGAGUUUUUGAGAUAUGUUUUUGGUGCUUAUCUAGUGGGUUAUCAUACAACACAUCCACACAACACGGGUAUGUAGAUGUCUAUGGCCAUAGGGCACAAUUGAUGAUAUCUAUGUAUAUAUUUCUUCUCCUGUGUAACCCAGAGUCGUACAACUUCACCUUUGGAUGAUGGGGCCUACCAUGUUUCUUCAGUAGCGUAACCCAGUGUCGUACAACUUCAUCUUUGGGUGAUGGACAUGUAUUGCCUUCGGCCGAAUGAAGAGUUAAUGAUAUUGAUGACAUACCCCUAACUUCACUGAUGAAACUAUUGUCGAAUAGCUUCACUAGACACGGCUAGUGUCGGUGUGUGAUGUUAUAUAUAUUCUCUUCUCUGGCGUAACCCGGAGUCGUACAGCUUCACCUUCGAAUAUGUGACUAGGGCUCAACAUGAAUAAUGAUUAAGGAAGCAUGGCGAGAUGAAUAGGCAUGAGCAUCGUGUCUUAAUCACCAUGGCAUGACAUGUUUUUAAAUAUAUUCCUCGUUGAUCCCGUGCCUUGGCAUGUAUUUGGGCUUGAAUGUAGGCUUUGCAUGACAAUUGGUCUUUGAGACUUGGUUGGAUUGAUGUGUGACAUUUUUGGACCCCAACACUAUGUUAAGUUGCUACGAAAAAUUUCCCAAUUUCUCAGCUUUUAGUUAUGUUAGUUUAUAAUUGCAACAACUUUUUUGAGUGUUGUAGCAGAUAUGCAACUAUAAAGGCUUCUUUAGAAGUAUAACAGUUUGACUGUGGUUUCAGUCAUUAAGGGGGCCAAAUGCUUAGUGUUAUAUAGAUUGCACUUAUAAGACAAAUACUAUGCAUUGAUUCAUUCAUAUCUUGUUGGAUUUUCAUGUGUUUGUUAAUUUCAUGACAAUCUUGGGGAUAGUGUUUAAUUUGUAAAAUGUGAUUCCCUCUAAUUCUUCAUGGAUAUUAGCUCAUGACAGAAGUUUGUUUAUCAUGGAUUUUAAUGUUUUGAUCUCAUGGCCAUUAAGAGCAACUUUUUUUUAAUAUUCGGUUUCGAGUAUGUUGUAUACAAGUGUUGACUCUAGUGGGAAAAUGUAAGACUAUAUUAGAGUUCCACACUUGUAUGUAACGUCUCCUGUAGAUUAAGGAUUUCAUAGACUGAUUUCAAUAAUACUUGUACGCUAAUAAAGAGAGUGUAUUAUUAGGAUUUUAUAGGUAAAGCAAUCCUGAUACGAAUAGUAAACUUAAUCAAAUAUGAAUACUGAAGUUUAGGUGAUAAAGUCUCGUUCGAGUAGAAUUACAUGAUGGGAAGUUCCCUACUCGAAUUCCACCUCUUUUACUAUAUAACAACGGUCUUUGCUCUCACACUCGAUACACAGAAAUAACCCCUUCUAGGCUUAUUGAAUAGAGCUGUGAAAAGGUGAGUGAAAGAGAGUAGAAGAUCAUUUGUUUUUGCUAUGGAGUUGUCACGAAAUAAGGAGAGAUGCAGACACUCAGAAUAUUGCUCAACAGAGGUUCUAAUUCAGAUAAAUGUUUUUAGUUGAUUAUGAUUUUCCUUCUUACAAGAGUUAGUCCUUAUAUUAAAAUAACAUAAGACUUUAGGGGUAUGAUUUGGAAAAGACCUAUUGGAAAUUGUAAUUUCGUAGGUAGACAAUUGGUUUUAUGAAGUAAUACUAAUAGUAAAAUGUAAGUAAACAAACAUAGAAAAAAAGUCGAAGGUUGAAUAUAGCCAAUUCAAUGCAAGAGAAAAUAAUGUUACGGCAAUCUUUGACCCCCUACAAAGAGAGAAUCUUCCGUAGAGUUGCCACACUAUGAUUGGUGGGUGAGACCAAAUGCGGAGAGUGUUUUGUGUGUACGGGCAUAUGGUAGAGCUGCCACGCUAUUGUUGGUGGGUACGUGUGGGACAAAUGCGGAGAGAGUACUUUGUGUGUGCGGGAUAGUCGCAUGGUCUGGAUGUCCAUAAUGAAGUUUUUCUCCUUACGAUGAAUGGAUAAUUGUCUAUUGUUUUGUUUAUUCAGUUACGUGAUACCUUCUGUUGUAGGGUACUGAAGUGAGGAAACUCACGUUGUUGUUCUCCUCACGGCCAUAUGUGAUGUUUGGGUACAAAUUGUUUGGGUUCUGCAUAAAAGCAUACUUAACAAAAUUAAAGCGCAAAUCUAGUUGGACCAUUUUAGUACCCUAACUCUAACUGAACCAACCACGCAUCUUAGACCUGGUUUGGGAGUGAGGUGCUUAAAAAAAAAGCACCCAUGAAAAAAAGCUGUAAGAGUUUUAGGUGUUUGGUAAACUGAAAAAAAAAAGGCUUAUUUUGGAAGCUGCUGUGAGAAUAAGCUGAAAUCAAAGGAAAAAACUGAAGCUGCUAUUUGCAGCUUUGGAAAACUGGUUUUUUUUCAAAGCACACGGAGCUACAGUGCUCCUUUAAUGAAAAGACCCACUAUUAGACUGCUUUUUUUUCCAAAAGCACUUUUACAAAAAAGUUUACCAAACACUCUGCUGCUUUAUUUCACAGCCGCUUAUUCUCACAGCAGUUUUUUUUCAAAGCACAGCAAUAUCAAACCAGCCCUUAGUUUGCUCCAUUCCUUCAAGUUCGAGAUUUGUGUUACCAACUAAUGCAUCACAAUCUUUCCAAAAAAUAAAAAAAAUAAAAAAAACUAAUGCAUCACAAUAUAUAAGACAUUUUAUUCAAAGAUGAGGACGGACUACAAAGAAAUUCUUUCUUGCAUCCAUCUGCAGGAAACUUUAUUCAAGGUUGUCGUAAAAAAUACAUAAUUAAAGUGACAUGAUAAGUUCUACAAGCUUAUUCAAGAAUUUGUAGGAAGAACCACCUUUCCUCAAAGAAACUUCUAUUUUCUCUUUCAAAUCCUUGGCCCUAACCCGCAUCACUUCCCCAUCAACAUCUACCAUCAGUUUCCGGACAGCUCUCUCAAUCUCUCCUCUCUCUACCUCAUUGUCUAAAUGUAGCCCUACUUUCCAUACUUGGCCAACGUACCUUGAAUGCACCUUCUGAUCGCCAAAAGACGGCAGGCAUAUCAUUGGAAUCCCUUCGGACAAACUUUCUAGCGUUGAGUUCCAACCGCAGUGGCUCCAAAACCCUAUGAUUGCGCGAUGGGACAAAACUUCCCUCUGGGGUACCCAUUUUACAAUGCGACCACGUUCUCCAAUCGCUUCUAUGAAACCUUGAGGCAAUAGCUCAAUCCAAUCUGAACCAUUCACUGAGCCAGGUCUGAUUACCCAUAAGAAAGGCUGCUUGCUGUUAGCCAAUCCCCAAGCCAUUUCGGCAAGCUCUUUCUCACUGAUGGAUGCUACACUUCCCAAGCUUACAUAGAUAACCGCAUUGUUAGAUUGCUUAUCGAGCCACCCAAUGCAGCUUGUGUCCUCUUCUAGUAAGCUACUAGAAGCUGCAGCUUCAAUCUUGUGAAGAGGACCUAUGGAGAAGAUUGGAACUGGGCAUUGUUGCUGGAUCUGUGCUAGUGAUGAUUGCUCAAGACAAUCAGUAGUGUUCCAAACGAUUGCUGAUGCUGUCUUAACAUUGUGUGCAUUAACGACUAGUUCCGAGUACUUUUCUAAUGAGUCAAAGUUGUUGGUGGGCAGAUCCUUCAACCUGAGGGGAUCAAAAUCGGGCAGCGGCCUCAGUGACUGAGAGUCUGCAAUCCAACAGUUUUGUUUUCUUAGUUAUAUGCAAGAAAAACGAACAUAGAGUCUGUACUCUGAUUAAGAAAUAUAUAUGACACAUACCUGGGAAUGGGAUGUGACCUUUUGAAUGAAGCUGUAGUAGAGCAGUACGAGCUUGAAAAUUGGUAACGCUGGUAGUUCGUAACAUGAUGUUUGGGAUGUUUAGAUCCUUAGCUACAGCUUCAGUGAAGUACAUAAAGUCAUCAUAGAUAACGCAGGUGAUUUUGUUCUCGGGUUCCUGUUCCAUAACUUGAGUCAAGCGUUGUCGGAAACUCGCUUUGCAGUUGGCAUUUAUAGCCAGCAGAAUGGCUAUUGCAUUCCCAGAUGAGAUCUCUUCAGCUGUCAAGCCAUCUUGUAUUGGAAAGAAG